This 1068-nucleotide long non-coding RNA is filed under the name Numida meleagris (helmeted guineafowl). Its description in RNAcentral is "lncRNA (ENSNMEG00000010289.1)". The record is from RNAcentral. Lineage: Eukaryota; Metazoa; Chordata; Aves; Galliformes; Numididae.
AUCUCAAAGCACGUCCUGGGAGCCUAACAACUCCUCCAUGCAUCUCAUUCUGGAAGUGAGAAGCAGGGCCAUGCAGCAUCCUGAUGGGCCACGCAGCUCCUCUCUGCUCUGAAGGAGUCACAGUUUGGCAGCAGCGAGCAUGAGUUUCCUAUCUGAAGCGGAACUGUUGUACAGAAACACCAGCGUGUUUUGCAGUCCACAUAGUAGGUCCUGGGCAGACGCUCACACACCUUUGAACUGUGAUAAGGAGAAUAUUAUUACCCUACUGGUGGCCUGGUCAGAUAAGUUGUUUGCGGAGGACAGUCUGCAUUUCUUUCAAGCUCUCAUUCUGCUGCACCAGUAACUCCAGAUUCCAUUCCCAAGGAAAUCAGCCGCUUCUUCUUUGAAACCGCAAAGAGCAAUGGACAGUUUAGGGAAAGACCAUGAUUAUUCCAACACUUCUCUGCCUUCCUCCACAGCCCACGAGGAGAACGCUGAGCCAGGUGCCACCAUGUCCCGCCGCUUGAGAGACCGGGAGCUGCUCCGGAAGAGAAAGGCAGAAGCCAAGGAGAAGGAUUCAAUUCAGUGGGCUCUGGGGGAGCAUGAGAGGAGCAAGCGGCAGAGGAGGGGCCGAGGUGCCAGGCGAGGAAAGGGCCGCGAGCAUGUCGUGGAGCCCACACCACAGCCAAAACCACAGCCAAACCCUCAGCCCCCAAAGAAGGAGGAAGCUGAGACGAUGUCCUCCAUGGUGAUGCAGCAAGCCGAGUCUCCCCAGAUGGACGUGCAGGACCUGUUUUCUGGGGUGCAGCUGGCAGAUCUGGAAGGGAUGCUGGGAUCUGGGAGCCAGAGUCCCCUGGGUGAAGAGGACAUGCUGAAACUGGCAGACGAAAUACAAGACGUAUUGAAUACUUCGCUGGAAAAGAACGAAUCGGAUAGCGAGAUGUACUCAUCGAGUCUAUUUUAAAGUUUUAUUUUAAAAUAUAUAUGUAUUCUUCUAAUUUUUAUGACUAAGAAAUACUGGAAAGCCUUGCAGGGAGACUUAAAAGCUGUUCCUUCCUCGGGAACAAUAAAAAACUGACUCUCUCUCCA